Non-coding RNA from Nomia melanderi (Alkali bee), 763 nucleotides. The record is from RefSeq and is a predicted model, not a curated record. NCBI's taxonomy places the organism in Eukaryota, Metazoa, Arthropoda, Insecta, Hymenoptera, Halictidae.
AUAUAAAGGCCCCUCCAACGGGCGUAGCCCUGGCAUUUCCUGAGUCAUCAUCGAGCGGUGAAGGCUGUAUCUCGCUCGCUGGUUCAAAGUGUUUUUCGAGUUUGCCCACGGGAUUUCCCUUCCGUCGUUCGACGCGAGAAACACGAGCCAGAUACAGUCUCACCGUUUGAGAUGGCAAUGGGACGGGCGGAGGGAGUUGCUGUUUGCAGCGAUGCUGGGGGCAUACCGCAGGGGAAACAGGGAUUCCAUGUUCUAGUCUCUACGCCAUUCACCAGUUUGGUUUGUAAACUGUAUCGGAACCAAUGUAUUUCUCUUUGCAGUUUCUAUUAUCUUCUUUAUUUAUUUUUUUACCAUCUUGAAACGAUACGAAUAUAUUGGAAGUUUAUAAUGAAUUCGUUUUGUUAAUAAUGCUUGAAGAAACAUUUGAUCUCGGAUAUUAUAUUUUUGUUUUUUCAGAGAGACACAACGCUUUUUGUUGAAAUAAUGAUAAUGAUAAUAAUUGUACAUUCGUUGUAGAUGUGUAAAUUUAGGAUGUACCUUGUAUUUAUGAUAUUUAAUCGAUAGAUAUAGUCGACAGAACUGAUUGUUAUUCCAAAGACUUUUAGGGAGAGCUUCUUUAGGUUUAAAUAUAUAUAUAUAUUUAUAGAAAGCGUGUUUAAUUAAAGAAAUAACUAAAAUCUGUACAAAGUAUUGUGAUACAGCAGAGAAGAGAAGAAACGAUUUUAAUACAAUAAAUGUGGACAAAGAAAAGUUGACAAAUUUA